This 370-nucleotide ribosomal RNA is filed under the name Robbsia andropogonis. Its description in RNAcentral is "bacterial SSU rRNA". It matches the Rfam family "Bacterial small subunit ribosomal RNA", at positions 78 to 451 of the family's 1533-position model. The record is from RNAcentral. Lineage: Bacteria; Pseudomonadati; Pseudomonadota; Betaproteobacteria; Burkholderiales; Burkholderiaceae.
GCUUGCUCCGCUGACGAGUGGCGAACGGGUGAGUAAUACAUCGGAACGUGUCCCGUAGUGGGGGAUAGCCCGGCGAAAGCCGGAUUAAUACCGCAUACGAUCUAAGGAUGAAAGCGGGGGAUCUUCGGACCUCGCGCUAUAGGUGCGACCGAUGGCAGAUUAGCUAGUUGGUGGGGUAAAGGCCUACCAAGGCGACGAUCUGUAGCUGGUCUGAGAGGACGACCAGCCACACUGGGACUGGGACACGGCCCAGACUCCUACGGGAGGCAGCAGUGGGUAAUUUUGGACAAUGGGCGCAAGCCUGAUCCAGCAAUGCCGCGUGUGUGAAGAAGGCCUUCGGGUUGUAAAGCACUUUUGUUCGGGAAGAAAA